RNAcentral lists this ribosomal RNA (459 nucleotides) under uncultured bacterium. RNAcentral describes it as "partial 16S ribosomal RNA". It matches the Rfam family "Bacterial small subunit ribosomal RNA", at positions 338 to 795 of the family's 1533-position model. The record is from RNAcentral.
CCUACGGGAGGCAGCAGUGAGGAAUAUUGGUCAAUGGGCGCGAGCCUGAACCAGCCAAGUAGCGUGAAGGAUGACUGCCCUAUGGGUUUUAAACUUCUUUUAUAAGGGAAUAAAUUUCCCCACGUGUGUGUUUUUGUAUGUACCUUAUGAAUAAGCAUCGGCUAAUUCCGUGCCAGCAGCCGCGGUAAUACGGAAGAUGCGAGCGUUAUCCGGGUUUAUUGGGUUUAAAGUGAGCGUAGGCGGUUCCAUAAGUAAGCGGUAAAAUCGUGCGGCUCAACCGUACCGUGCCGUUGAAACUGUGGGACUUGAGUAUGCGUAGGGUACAUGGAAUUCGUGGUGUAGCGGUGAAAUGCUUAGAGAUCACGAAGAACUCCGAUCGCGAAGGAAUUGUACCGGAGUAAGACUGACGCUGAGGCUCGAAAGUGUGGGUAUCAAACAGGAUUAGAUACCCCUGUAGUC